CAGCCGCCACGGUAAUACAGAGGGUGCGAGCGUUAAUCGGAUUUACUGGGCGUAAAGCGUGCGUAGGCGGCUAAUUGAGUCGGAUGUGAAAUCCCCGAGCUUAACUUGGGAAUUGCAUUCGAUACUGGUUAGCUAGAGUGUGGGAGAGGAUGGUAGAAUUCCAGGUGUAGCGGUGAAAUGCGUAGAGAUCUGGAGGAAUACCGAUGGCGAAGGCAGCCAUCUGGCCUAAUACUGACGCUGAGGUACGAAAGCAUGGGGAGCAAACAGGAUUAGAUACCCCCGUAGUCCCUGUCUCUUAUAC
Molecule: ribosomal RNA, 301 nt
Filed under: uncultured bacterium
Lineage: Bacteria
Description: partial 16S ribosomal RNA
Rfam family: Bacterial small subunit ribosomal RNA
Source: RNAcentral